RNAcentral lists this ribosomal RNA (112 nucleotides) under Periophthalmus magnuspinnatus. Lineage: Eukaryota; Metazoa; Chordata; Actinopteri; Gobiiformes; Gobiidae. The record is from RNAcentral.
UACUAUGGAAACCUCCUUGUCAAAGCCUCUCGUCAGAUCUCAGAAGCUAAACAAGGACGGGCCCGGUCAGCAUUGGGAUGGGAGAUGCUGAGAAUACCAGGUGCCACAGUGA